RNAcentral lists this non-coding RNA (178 nucleotides) under Secundilactobacillus mixtipabuli. RNAcentral describes it as "Lactobacillus mixtipabuli Lysine sequence". It matches the Rfam family "Lysine riboswitch aptamer". Rfam says of the family: Riboswitches are metabolite binding domains within certain messenger RNAs that serve as precision sensors for their corresponding targets. Allosteric rearrangement of mRNA structure is mediated by ligand binding, and this results in modulation of gene expression. This family includes riboswitches that sense lysine in a number of genes involved in lysine metabolism, including lysC. Lineage: Bacteria; Bacillati; Bacillota; Bacilli; Lactobacillales; Lactobacillaceae. The record is from Rfam by way of RNAcentral.
UAUCAAAGAAGAGGCGCGAAUUGAAAGAGUAGCUUCCAGGAGAACGAUCAGGUUCUGUGACUGGAGGUAAAAGGGUAAUUUGCCGAAGCUCCACGUGACUGAUAAAACGUGGGGCUGGGAUCAGUUUUAAUAAAACUGGUACUGUCGCAGCGAUGUGCUGCGGAGAGCUUCCUACGUU